UUUUUUUUUUUUUUUUUUUUGUAAAAAUGUCUCUCUUAAGCACUAUUACUAACACAUAGGGCCAUGAAUAAAUCAAACCUUUAACGAAUAGUUCGGAUUCGAUUCGUUAAAACUCUAUUCAAGUUUAACUUUGAACGAGUUCGAAUUCAAAUUUGCUUCAGUAUUAAAAUUCGAUUAAAGUAUCAAAUUAAAUUUGAACUUUACAUAUUUGGCUCGUUAAGAAUCGAAUAAUAGUUAUAUAUAUAUAUAUAUAUGUUAUUUAAUAUACAUAAAUAUUUUAUAUUAAUAAUAUAUUUAUUAUUCUAUUAUAUAUUUAUUAAUGAUAAAAUAAUACUAAAAUGUAGAAAAUAAAUAAAAAUUUUGAGCUCUUGAAUCGAAUUCAAACCUACCGAAUAUAAUAUUGAAUUAAGCUCGAACUUAAAUAUUAAUCUCGAGCUCGAGUUUGAGUUUGGACCCAGAACUUUGAAUAGAUACCGGCAAUUUCAAAGUUGGAUUCAAUUCAAUUCGUUACGGUUCCACUAACACCCGUACAAUUACAAUGCUGAAAAUGGCAUAGAAUUCUGCGUAAAGCCAGAAGGGCAAAAAGGAAUGCCCGGCGCAGAAGUCAAGUAGCAUAUAUCAAGCAAAAAGCAAACACUAAUGAAGUUGGGCACUAAAAGACGACAAUGCUGAACAAUGAAGAAUUGAACAUCACCCAUCUCAAGUCUCUCAACCACUUCCGAGUUCCAUCAACUUGCUGGCCAGUUCAUGGCACGCAACCUCGCAGGUCGAGCCAGCAAAAAAAAAAAAAAAAAGACGAGAAAAAGAAAGACUACUGCGUAUCUAGAAUUAUAUCAUUCAGAACGACUAUGAAUGCUCCUCCAUGCAUCACUUUUUACAAAGUAGAAAUCUCUUUUAUUUUUGUUAAAAAUCACUGUAACUGCAGGCAUUUCAGCUCCUUUAUCGUAGACUACGCAAUUGAAACAAAAACUAUAUGGAAAUAUCAUAGCUUUGUCAUUGUCUCGCUCUCUCUCUCUCUCUCGAAUGCAGAGUGAAGUAGAAAGAGCACUCAGAGGACCUUUUGUGUGUACAGCGAAGAAAGAUAGGGUUCCUUUUGUAUUGUGACUGGUGUAUAAAUGGUAACUGACAUGAGAAACGACAGAAAGCGCAUAUUGGACUCGAGCUUUUGGCAAGUAAAGGAGGCAGAGCCUAACUAAGCUUUUUCUUCCAGACGUUCCGUAUAUCUGGAUUUUUCUUGCACGGGUUUAAAGGAAUUCUUUGCAGAAUCGAACACAUACAUUACCUUUUAAUGCUUGGUUAUGCUUCAGCUUUUUUAAGAAAGUAAUCGUUAUCACUAAUCAGCCAUGAGAGUAAUGAAAAGGGAAUUAAAACCUCACGAUCUACCUACCAGGGCAUGCAGUUGUAAGUUUGAUAUACCCAAUACUUGAUGUGUAUGGCUUAUGCUGAGAUUGACACUUGAGAGUCAAAGUUCAUAUAUACUGCUAUAUCAUGAGAGGAGAAGACGAUAUGUAAUUUGUUUUUUCGUAACACUUGCAUGAGCUCUUCGAGAGUGGGAGAAAACUCCUUGCACUACCGCUUGAUGAUAUUUUUGUGAAAGAUUAAGAACCCAACGUUGCUAAAACGUCUUUGAGUCAUGGUUCAAAGUCGCGGUCGCGGUCACGGUCGCGGCCUGGAACGUUCCACAUCGGUCUCGGCAUAUUGGUCGCGGUCUCGGUGAGACACAAAUUUUAAAGUAUUUAAUAUUCUAAAAAUUGUUAAUAAUAUAAAAAAAGUAUGCUAAACAAAAAUAAUAAAAAAUAGCAAAAGAAAUGGCCAAGUCAAUCUGUCACGGUGUAACUCGGCCGAGUCAAUCCGUCGCGGUGACGUCUCGGCCGAUUUCUCGGCGAGUCAAGUAUCUCGGUAUCGUUUCGUUACGGUAUCGUAUCGGUAGGGGCCGAGACGGUGACGACUCGGUCAAGUCGUCUCGAUCUCGGCCAAGACUUAGAACCAUGCUUUGAGUAGUCAUCGUCACUCUCGUCUAUUUAACCAACAUUUAUUGCUCAUCGAGAAUUCGUAGUAAUUACCCUAGCUAGUCACGGCAAAAUCAAUAAUGCGUAAAUAAAAAGGGGGGAAAAAUAUCCUCUGUAAGUUGAAGCCAAUGGCUUGUCUGGAUUCAGGUCCUCACAAAAAUGACACAAUUUUGAUGUAAAAUUUGAGUCCAUAAUUUAUUCAAUUAAAUUUGUGCAAAAAUCACAAUUACAUGGAAAUUACACCAUUUUACAGCGCAUCACUUAUGAGACGCGAACUCUAACUCGUGACCUUGAAAUGAAUCACUCCCCUCUCUCUCAAAACCCUUUGAUCGAUUGCCAAAAAAGGAGGAGCGAAAAUGAAUAAUGGCAGUAAUGAAGGCGCAACUGCGAAUCGCUCGUCAAUAAUAAUUGCCCUGACACUAUCGGAGGUCGACUGCUGGGAUCCCAUUCAUUGGAUGCAAUAAUAGCAAUAGCUUUUGCUAAUUAUUAGUCGACCUGUAACUAUAAUCUUUACUCCUCACCUUUCGGUACCCGCUCCAACUGUUCACGGGUUUUAGUGGUGACGAAGGAGAAACAAUCAUGGAGCUCUCUCCGUUUCUUUUCUUUUCUUCUCUUCAUGAUGGACGAUGAAAAGCAUAGGAAGCAGUACACACGCUACGGCGUACUAGAAUCAUCGGCGACUGUUAAUUUGGUCUGGUCGUCUCUGGUUGAUUCUCACUAGGGUCAUUAAUUGAGUGGAUUAUUUGUGUACUAUCUAUGAUGUCCUCCCCCGGACCGGCUGAGUAAAGGUGCAAGAUUCAUCGAGUAACGGUAAUUCAUUGCAUUGUUAACGGAAUAUUAAACCUUGGUGCAUGGUCAGUAUCAUUCAGUGAAAAUCCAUGAGAAAAAGUAAAAACCUUUUCUAUGCGAUGGGAAGCAAAAAUUCAAGUAUCUGCCAUUUUUAUUAGUCACUCUCUCCAACAAUCAUUUUAAUCAUAUUAUUAUUUUUAUCUAUUACUUCAUAUGAUAAACUAAAUUGUGGGAGUGAAAAAAACACUGCCCUUUGAAUUAUUUGUCCUUUUCUACCGAUAAAACCCCUUGCCACUUGAGUUGUUUGGGUUUUGACAUGAAUUACUUUUUAUCUGUUCAAAACAAUAACAUCUUUUGGCGGCCUUUGGCACAGGUGAAAAUCUUUGUUUGAAAUGGCACAAUGCAAGUUGAAUUGGUAAAAAACCAAAUCCAAGAUAUAAAUAAUGAUUAGCAUGACUAUUUAGAGUUGUAAAGCAGCAUAUAUGGGCAUUGGUUAAAAAAAAAAAAAAAAGUUCCAUCUCAAAAAUGGGGGAAGAGUUUUUUUUUCCCCCCUCUUCUCUUAUUUGAAAAAGUUUAAAAAGGAAGGGAAAAAGCUAAGUUCAAAACGGUGAAAGGAAAACAAUUACAGCCCAUACAAAUUCUGGAGGAACGUAAAAUUUUAAACUUGUAACUACUAGGGCAAUUGAAUCCUACAUCCCGUGGAUUUAGACAAUGGAUGUUUCUUCCUCAGAGAGUCAAUAGUUUUUUCACCUAAGUGGUUUAGUUAACGUGUCAUGAAAAUUAAUCCUAAUGAGUGCAAAAAUUUCAAGUCGAUGUUUGGUGUGGAGAUGAGAUUUAAGUUCCUCUAAUUCCUCUUAUCCCAAAAGAAUAAUUUUGCAAACCUCCCUUGAGUUGUAAUAAUUGCAAAGAGCUCCCUUCAAAUUUUAAAAAUUACAUAUACUUCCCUUAUAUUUACUGUUUAUAUAACAAUGUUGGUCCAACAAUCUAGAUUUUCUUUCAAAGAUCCUAAAUUGCUUUUUUGUACAAUACUAAAAAAGAAAAAUAUAGCAUACUCAAUCACUUUCUUUCAUACUUUACACAAAUUUACUAUCCUAAUCCUUUUAACAACCGCCCAAGCAUAAAUUCCAAUUCCAAUUUUGAGCAGCCACUUAAAAGUUCCUAAAUUGCAUAUAUAACAUCAAUAUGUGCCACAUCAAAACACACACACACACACAUACCUGACAAUCAAUUUUAUUCUAAAAAAUUAAAUCUGAAUGCCCCAACGCCUUUCCAAUACUAAUCUUGUCGUUAAAAAUAUUAACACCUAAGAAGUAAAGAAUAAAUUCUACCUCCACGACAAAAUCAUAAACAACAAUUAUUAAUCCAACAAAAGAAAUCCUUAUGCAAAUUAUUGAUAUUUUUUUAAAAAAUAUUGAUAACAGAUAAAAUGCGAUGACUUUCACAUUUUUGGUCAUUCUUUCUAUUUUAAUCAUCAAUUCAUUAUUUAUUUCUCUAUCACUGCAAAUCUCUUCAUUUCCUUUUAGCUUGACACAUACUCUUCUCUGUGUGAUGAUUUUGCAAUUUCAAUUUACUAAUACCCAUAAAACUCAAGCUAAUAAAAGAGGGAAUAGCAGUUUAACAUGUAAAAAAGAGAGAAGCAGAAAUGGACAUGAGAUAGAGAAAUAGGAUUUUUUUGGGGGGUUUCGUAAAUCAUUGUCUUAAACCGUGAAUUGUCCACUAAGUGAAGGAUAUCAUAGGUGCUUUACUAUGUUAAGGGAAAUAAGUGUAAUUAUUUAAACCAAAGGGGAGCUAGAUGAAAUUGUUAGAAACUUCAAGGAAGGUUUGUGAAGUUAUCCCUUUCCCAAAAGCCUGUUAGAAACUUUCUACAAGUAAAGGUAAGAGAAGAACUUCUGCCCUUUGUUCGAAACAACAAUACUAGUGCUUUAAUAUUUUCUUCCCUCAAACUUCUCACUUCAGAUUUGAUGGAGAAUGAAAAGUCUGACGGCACAUUCUCCUAGAUAUCAUGCAAAUAUAUAUCCCUGAUAAUAUUUUCAUUUUCUAAUAGGAGUAGUUGGCCAUCAAAAGUGCCUUAAGUUUAUUUCUUGACCUACAUUUUUUAAUCCAGAAUUUUUUGAAAUGUUCCCCUAGUGAGUGCAAAGGUAUCCGUCUGAGUCGGUGGUGGUUUAAUUCCUGUCGAAUUAUCCCUUUGGGGGUGCGUAGGCAUCCGUUUGAGCUGACGGUGAUUUAGUUCCCACCGAGAGUAAAUGGUGGUUUAAUCCCCCUGAAUUAUUCCACUAUAGAAUAAUAGGUAUAGUAUAGAAUUUAUCGUGUCCCCGACAAAAAAAAAAAAACAUUUUCAUUUCCUCGAAAAAGAAUCUUUAGCAUGAAUUGGUAAGUGGCUUACUGCGUGGCCAAAGACAGUAACUUGUUUUGCACAGCCAUAGUGGGUGUUUUAAUAGUGGCCACUGCCCGUCUGAGCCUGCUUUUAGUUCGAACGUACCAAGACGGUCGCAAAUGCAAUGGAGCCUGGCCAAGAGAUUUUAAUUGCUACUUGGUACUAACGAAACAAUAAUAAUGGCAAUAUUUGUGCAGAGCAACAGAGGUAAGGAAUGGCAACUGGCAAAGGAACCAACCACCACCUCCAGCAGCAAGCUAUGGGAAAGGAUGAGGCGUACGUACGGGCCCUGUGUUUGGCAGACAGACGAAAGAAAGGCCAACAAUUAUUAGAGAAGACAUGGAGGGGUUCCGUUCCCUUACAUAUACAACAUGCUCCUAUUGUGUGAUGCUUUAUGCCCUGCAGCUAAGCCAAAUAGUAGCAAUUUCUUGGCUUUGUUAAUAAAUGUUUUUCACUGUUAGACUUUGGCCAGUACUGGCCAACGAAGAAUGGUGCGAUAACAGUAGUGUGAGUAUGAUUAAUGUUGUUUACAUGAUUUAGUACGACAAUGAUACUUUAGUGGUAGUCAAUUGUCUCAACAACUCUGUAUAUAGUAACUAUUUUUUUCCAAUUACAUGUGGCUGAUGAGCAAACAGUUUUGAAAAUUUCCCAAUAUCCUUGCCCUUUAGUUAGAUUAGGAGUAAAAUCCAAAUAAGGGUUCGUGCUUGUUUAUCUCGGAGCAUGUAGUGUUACAUUACAUAUAUACAUUACGUACCCUUGGUGGGUUGAGAAACUCUUCCCUAUUUAAUUUGCAUGACUAAAUAAUUCCAUAUAUUGCGUUUCUCUUUAUUUUCUCAAAAAAAAAAAAAGGUGUCAUUACUACAAAGAAAUUUAUGAAAUCUGGUACAAAUUAUGAGAAAGUGUUAAUUAUCAUGAAAUCUGGCACUAAUUAUGAAGUGUGUAUCUUUCUUUUUUCACGUACAAUUGCGAAUUGUCUCGUAAACAGAAACAUGGUAGUACUGGAUAUAACGGGAAAUCCGUGAUCCUUAUGGUCUAUUAUCAAGAAAAAAAAGGGUUCAAUUUUACCUAAUUCAAUCACUCAACAAAAUCAACCAAUUUGCUACCACUAUAGUCUUUUAAAGCUUGAUGUGGUGGAAGGUUAAGGGUUCAAACAUUACCUCUCACCAUAUGCCCGUUAUAGUGGUUUAAAUCCAUACAGAUACACUACGCACCGUCUGACCUAAAGUUGAUUUAGUUUCCGUCGAUUACUCAAUAGGUUCAAUUGGUGCUCUUUUCUUUAGAAUAGAUUAUAAUAAGAAUAGAAGUAAGUGUGAAAUAUGCAAACUGCAACUGACCCAAAAAAAAAAAAUAUAUAUAUAUAUAUAUAUAUAUAUAUAUCAGUGAAACAAAACCAGGGAGCCUGAAGAUAUAAAGGACGUCCUUCUCUUUCUUAGGUGACUGAUGGUUUUUACCAGUAUUAAUCUAGCAGUCUACUACUUCUAUUACCGAGAGCAUAUCUUCGCGUGAGACAGACGUUACUGAUUUUCUGUUCCUUUGCUAAACCCGAUCUCUUCUUCUCCUUCUUUGAAAUCCCAAAAUAAAUAAAUUUACAUACAUACAUAUGUAUAUAUAUACUGUACAUCUUCCCAUUUUUUAGUUGCAGUGUUAGUACAAGCAUACGGAGCGGCUUAACUCGUGUAGUUUCAACUUUAAUGUUGUAGUUAAUGUUUGAUGUUAAAAUGUUGUACAGGAGACCACAUUUGAUUUGACUACUUGGUUUCAAAACUUUGAAUUUGGUUUCAAAACUUUAAUGUUGUAGUCCAUGGGAAAUGUACUCAUUUAUACCGCAUUUUUUCGUUUCUUUUUUUUUUUUUUGGGAGGGGGUGGGGAGAAUGAGGGAGCAAUGUUGAAACCAACUUGUGUCAGGCAAGUUAACCAUCAAAAUAGAUUUAGAAUCUUUCAUUGAUCGGUAAGUUAAAGGUUCAAGUCUUACGCUUUGAAGUUAAAAAAAAAAAUCAAAUUACAUGUCAAAGCAUACUUUUAAAUUUGAUGAUUUGUCUUCACUUUAAGCUUUCUCGAUAAAAAAAGAGAGAGAGAGCGCAAUCACAAUCGGGGCAGGUGAAUGGAGGAAUCAAGUUCAGCAUUUAUGUUUGGUGAAUUAGAUCAAUUUUUCUAUCUACCUUUUCAUCUAUUAGUACCUGUUUGGAACCUGAGUUUUUUUGGAGUUUGUCUAAAACUUUACUGUAGUGUACUGUAGAAGUUUUUGAAAAAAUUUUGUAGAAAUUUUUUGUAAGGUGAAAAUAUUUUUUGUAGAAGUUUUUGUAAGAUAAAAAAUUUUGUAAAAGUUUUUGUAAGGUGAAUUUUUUUCCCCUUUUCUUUUCUUCAUUUCUUUCUUUCUUUUUUUCUUUCUCUUUCUGUUUCUUUUUUUCCUUUUUCUUUUCUUUCCUCUCUUUCUUCUUCUUCUUUUUCCUUCCCCCUCCCGCCACCCCCUCCCCCCGCCAUCCCUUCUGCCCCUUCCCCCUCCCCUUUACACGCCACCCCCCUUCCUUGUUCCCCUAUUCGCCUGUCAACUGUAAUGUUGGCAUAAUUAGAAGGAGAAAGAAAAACUAGAGCAGAAGGAAAGUAACUGCUGCUGCUGCAUAGGUCGGGGGAGUUUGGCCAAGGAGGGGAGGGGAGGAGAGAGGGAGGGAGAAAGGAAGGAAAAAAAAUUUGGGAACACCAGUGCCGGAAACGGCGGCGAAAGUGGUGGGCGCGAUGAAGGUAUAGUGGAUGGGGUGAGGGAGAAAGAAGAAGAAAGAUAGAAGUUUUUUAUGUAUUAAAUAUUUUGAAAUGUGUAGGUUAAAAAAUUUGAUAAGUUUUUUUGGGUUUCUGUAGUUAAAGUUGUUAAAAAACUUAUAACUAAAAAACUUGGCAAAAAAACUGACACUUUCAAACAGGCCUGAAACUUCUAUUUGAGCCUCUGCGGAGCACAAUUUUUCUUUCCUUUUUUUUUAUUUUAAAAAAUUGAAGUGUUUGUUUUCUUUUCUGGGGUAAUUGGUCUCAUUUGGUAUUGCACUAACGUUUUGUAGAUUCUCGUGCUAAUUAAUAUGAGCAGAAUUAGUAGGUGAUUGUGAUUUUGUUCUUUUCAAGAUUAAAUUUUUUCUAACGAUAUUUUAAUUGCCUCUUUUGAUGUUUUUAGCAUAGUUCAAAUAGAACGGUUGACGUUGAUAAUCACAUCACAUUAGCGUUAAUAUAUAGUAAUUAGGUUGGUAACCUCAAAAGUUCAAACAUCCUGAAAAUCGAGAGCCCCACAAAUUUUUUCCCCAAUCCAGUGUAAGACAAACAGGGACAAUUGACAAACCGGGUUAGACAUGGUCAACCCUUUUGAGUUUCUCUUUCUCCCCAGGGCUUUCCAUCCCCCGCCCAUCUCAAUCACGUGUAGACCGUAGACUCUACGCUCUCCCACCAAAAAAUCCAGCCAUGAUUAAUUCCCUAAUCAAACCAUUAGACGCGCAUAAUCAGAGAUGUGAUCCUACCAUUAUUCAUCGGUGUUAGCUAAUUCAUUGUUAAAACCACACAAGAGACCUGCUUAGACUUGAAAUCUUGUGUCUCACUUCUACUUGCGAAACAGUUAUAGGCACCUUUCUUAGACUGAUUUGCACUUACAAUGGGUUUGUUUGGAUGAUUUAUUUGAAAUAAUUACUGUAGCACUUUUUGUGAUGUGAUGUGAUGUAUGUGAAAUAGAAAUGUGAUUGGAAAGAUAAAAAAGUGAUUAUAAUUUGUGAAAUAAAUUAUUUUAUUUGAAAUUUGAAAAGAUAAAAAGGUGAUUGAAAUGUGUUUACUAGUAUUAAGUUUUUAUCAAAUACGCACAAUCAUUGUGCAAUUUAUGCUUUUAUGUUCCUUGAUCAAAAGAUUUAGUUCAACACUAAAUGGAGUUUACUUGGCUGACUGCAAUUAGGAAACUCACGGCUAUUUGUUAUCAAUAUCAAAAGCGUCAUGUCUUGUAGACUACCAAACCAAACGAAUUUGUUCAAAUGCCUUGUAGGUAAUCACUUAAGAUUAACUCAGUUGGUGGCAAUAUGCUUCACUUAUUUGAUGUGUACGUGUGUGUAUAUACACACAAUCAUAUAUAUAUAUAUAUAUAGAUACAUAUGUAUCUAUACAUAUAUAUUCUUGAUAUAUAUAUAUAUAUAUUUAGUUGGUACAGUGUGCUUAGUAUACUAUCAAAGUUUUCAUGCUCUAUUUUAAAUUUAAAGACUUGUAAUAGUCCGCUACCAUAUUAAUUGGCAAAAAUAGGAGGAUGUGGAAUUAUCUACAAUGGGCUUGGGCGAAUGUGCCGUUACACGAGGAGUUAGAUGCCAGUGGUUCUGGUCCAGUAUCUAUCCCCAUCUUGGCUGAGCGCCAAAAUCCUCCGAAUCACACUUUAAAGUUUAAAAACUGAGACAAAAAUUGAGAAAGAAAAUUCAUUAAGGAAGAGAGAGAAGUCUAAGGAGGGAAAAAGGACAGGCGUGAAAGCUAUCCCAAAUAAAAUCCAUCCUGCGCAUCCUUUCUUUGGUAUACGCCACCCUUCGUUACCAAGCCCAGCAUCCCUAUUCCCCACCCCCUCCUCAAACCCCAAGCCCCCAACCCUUGUCUCUCUCUCUCUCUCUCUAUCUCUCUCUCUCUCUCUAGGACAGAAAAGAGAGAAAGAGGCAGAUAUGUUACUGGGUCCAAGAUUGGGUUAGAGUACUAGUAGUAUGAGGAGCUUCUCCUCCUAAAGAUAAUGAGAAUAGCCUUCACUGUCUUCUUCUCAUCAGAAGAAGAUGGUUACCCUUUCACAUUCUCAACAACAGCCACCACAAAUCCAGCUCCAAAAUCUAAUCUUUGAUGGCCUUUACUGUGAGGAAGAGCGUUUUGAUGAGGUUUUGGGAAGUGGGCUUGGUUUUGAACAAGAUGAGAGUGACUACUACUACUACUGUGACAAAAAGAGCUUAACUUUAUUAGAAAAUGACCUAUUUUGGGAAGAUGAGGAGCUUGUCUCUCUUUUAUCUAAAGAAAAAGAGGCUCAUUUGGGGAAUAAUAGGAGCAGUAAUCUUGACUCAGAUGGGCUUUUAAUUGUGGCUAGAAAAGAGGGUGUUGGAUGGAUGUUAAGGGUCAUUGGACAUUAUGGUUUUACCCCGAUGACUGCUGUUUUAGCUGUGAGUUACUAUGAUAGAUUCAUAUCUAGCCUCUGUUUUCAGAGGGAUAAGCCAUGGAUGAGUCAACUUGCUGCUGUUGCUUGUCUUUCUAUUGCUGCCAAGGUGGAGGAGAUCCAAGUGCCCCUUCUGUUAGACUUUCAAGUAUGUACUUUAAUUGUAAUUUUUUAAAUCAGUACUGCUCUCUCUGUUUUCUGUGUACUUAUAACUAGAUUUUGGAAUGUGGGGUGCUUGAUUUGUUGCCGUCUUGCUUUUCUGUUUCCAUAAGGUGGAAAGUGCGAAAUUUGUUUUUGAGGCGAAGACUAUUCAGAGAAUGGAACUUCUGGUGCUGUCUACUCUUCAAUGGAAGAUGAAGCUGGUGACACCUCUUUCAUUCAUUGACCACAUCGUGAGGAGAUUUGGAUUGAUGACUAACAGGAAUUUGGAGUUUCUUAAGAGGUGUGAGGACCUCCUUCUCUCUGUCAUUGUUGGUAAGGAGAUCAAGUCCUUGUAGUAUUAUUGCUUUGGAUUGAAACCACGGAUCAUUUAUCUGUUCUUUCUAUGGUGAAGUAAUCUAUAAAUUAUAUGAUGAACCUACUUGGAAUGCAGAUGCUAAGCUUGUGCAUUAUCUCCCAUCUGUGAUUGCUUCUGCUACAAUGUUGAUCGUUGUUAAAGACAUUGAUCCUUGUAGAUUAAUGGAAUAUCAGAAUCAGCUGAUGGAUGCUCUGAAGGUUAGCAAGGUGGGUGCUGAUUUGAUAAUUUCGGUCCUUGCUUCUGUAAUUUACAGAUUUCGAUAUCCUUAUUUCAUACUAAAUUUGCAAUUGGUGAAUCUUGAUUGUUCAUUUGAAUUAAUGCAGGAGACCAUAAAUGAGUGCUAUAAACUCAUCCUGGAGAUAAUGGAUGAUCAAGGAAACAAGCAUUACCAAAAUGGCAAGCGCAAACAUCAGCCGAUACCAGGCAGCCCAAAUGGUGUCGUUGAUGCAUACUUUAGCUGCGACAGCUCUAAUGAUUCGUGGGAUGUGGUACUUUCUGCAUCACCAUCGAAGCAGAUGUUCAAGAGAAGCAGAGUUCAGGACAAGUUAAUGAUGUUAUAAGUUCACCUAGCAGUUUGUCUGUGAGUUUGGAUAAUUGUCCUUUAUAACUCUCACGCUGUUGUUGGUAGAUUCUGUUGGCAAUAUUUAUCUAAUAUACUGAGGAUGGCGCUACAUAUGGUCUCUCUUUUUUAUGUGCGCUCUUAGAAUGCCAUGCAAUAUUAUUGAAUGCUCUCAUGUCUGACUGAUUUUCCGGCCAAAUUCAUGUAAUGGAUCAGAAAACUAUUUGCUAGAGGGAAUGAAUCUUGAAAUUGAAAGAGAGCUUGGUUAAACUUUUUCUUGCAUUGUAUCCAUAGUUCUGAUAAUUUCAUAGACUAACAUCAAUGGCAAAGGACAUUAAGCAGAGACAUAGUACUUACUUUAUAUCUGCGUGUUAUCCUCCUUUCACCCAUUCACAUGAGACAUGAAUGACACCUACACAAAGGUUGGUUACAAUCAUAGACAGUGAUGGGUGUGGGAAGUCUUUGGUUGUUCCUCAAAAAACUAAUUAAUGGAGUGACAUAAUUUUCAACGUAGAACAGGUUGGCACUAGACUAUAACUAGUUAAAUAAAUUGUGUGUAGAAAGAUUUAUUCUUGGAAGCAGGAAUAGAUUGUCGGCCAGUGGGAUUUCAGUAGUUGCUGAUAUGCUUUUUCUUGCUGGCUUUGACCCUGUGUAGAAAAAUUGCGGUUGUAGUAGUAAUCAAAGCUUGAUAGGUUGGGGGAGGGAUGGGUUGGAAUAAAGCUUGAUAAAAUGUUGGACUUGUGUCUUUGGAUCAAAGAGAGGCCAGAAUAGAUACAACCAGAACAUGUUAUUGGACUGAAGAGCUAGCUCUUCUGUGAAAAACAUGAUGCGGCAAUUACCUUGUGAGUGUGGUUUAUGAAUCUGAGAAUCAGUCAAAAAGACUGUGAAAUGAUGAUUCAAGCUUCAUCGUGACAAUACAGAGGAGACCUUGGGAAAGAAGGGUGAUCACAAUGGUGAGAUAAAACUUCCAAACCAAAAGAAGAGACAGUUUAAAAGAUUUCAAGUCCCUGAAUUAGUUCUCUUUUGAAAUCAGAUGCGUAAUUGUCAGUCAUAAUUGUGCUUGAUGUUCGUGAGGUGAUCAGGAGUGAAAUCACAACACAAGGAAUUUCCCUGAUUAUGCUUUGCAUGCAUAAAAGGAUUCUUUCUCAUAUGCUAUGCCGGCCAAUGAUAUCUUUGAUUGAUCCAUAAAAGUUCAUCUGAUUCCUGAUUAACUUGUUUGGCCGGUCUAUGGUUGUGGCCUGUGGGUUUUCAGGUGUCUAAUAAUUUGGCUAUAGUGGGAACCCAAGAGAGAGUCAUGGUUUUGACAAUAUAGUUCUUGCGAGCCAAUAGGUUCCUCACCUUGUGGGGUGUGUUUGGAUACGUGGUGGCUCCUUGAGCUAGGCUUGUAACAUUUUAACUUAGAAAAAAAAAAAAAAAGAGGAGUUCAAUUCCAGCUCAAGGAGGAAUGCGAUGUUGGUUGGGACUUGGGAGGUUUUUAAAUAUGGAUAUUGAUGGACUUGUCCACCCUUUUUGAUUUUGUGGGGAAGGGCUUGUCCAUAGAGACUUUUUGGGGGGGGGGGGUCCUCCCAGACCCUGUUCCAAGGGCUUUUCAGCUUUUAAGGCCGGUACCGGUAUGGCCUGAUGAUGGUUGAGGAUCAUCAACAGCAAAAUGAUGGAUUUUUUUAAGGAAAAUGAUUUUUCAACUUAACAGCUACCCAAUUAUUGCGGAAUGAUAGUACGUAAAUAGUACAUUAUUACUACGAGCAUCGACCAUUAGUACAGAAGACUUGUAAGUAGCCUGCCUGCUUGCCCUCCUUUUUAUUAAAAAUAAAAUAAAAUACGUACUCCUCUGCUGUUUGACCGACCGGUCAGUCUGACCACUUUGGGAGGGAAGCCCCGCCUCCGUUACAGCCUUGCAGCUUCGCAACUUUCUGACUUUAGCAAUGCCAUGAGCAAACGGCUUCAACAAUCAAUAUUAAUACUAGUGUACUAACACUUCUAUGUUUUUUUUUUUAAAAAAAAAAAAAAUUUCACUUCCAUUAUCAUUUUAAUUAUACAGUUUUAAUUGAUUAGAUUAUAUGAUCAAACUAAUGAUGAAAGUGCAAAUAACAAAAAUGGAAGUGUAAAUACUAACAUUUUACUUUAUUUUUAAUAACAAGAAUUGCUAUGCUAUUCGAUUAGAUUAGAUUAGAUUUGAGGUGAUUCUAAUUUGAGUUUUAGUAAACAAAAUAUCCACAUAGGAGAGAGUAAAAACUAAAAGCAAAAGGAGAUUAAAACUUUAGCAUUAGUCGUAGAAUUUUUUUAAUUCGUUAAUUAAUUGGGGAAUAAUCUUAUAGGGGGCAUUAAAGAAAAUAUCCACAUACUACAAAUGCAUGAACUUUCAAAUACUAAGAGGAUUCUUUUAACAUGUGUCCAAUAAGUGUCUGGUUAGUCCGCUUAAUUUAUCUAAUUUACCAUUUAAAUGCAGACAACCAUAUUUAUGGUCUUCUUGCAUUUAGUCAUUCCUCAACCUAACUUUAAAUUUCUAAAAAACUAACACAUGAUUAACACGUGUUUGAUGGAAUCACGUUUUACCAUGAACUAGUCUUUUUCUCCUCUUGACUAUCAGAUUAUUUACCAAAUUUUAUUUGCUUGCAUUAUCAACGCAUUAUUUAGUCACCUUUUAAUUUCAUAUACAUCACAUCAAAAAGCUGCUGUAAUAUUUUUUUUUUGCAGAAGAAAAAUUAUUCCAAAUAAUCUACUGUCCCAAACCACUCACUAAUUGGAGUACUUGUCAAAGCAAUACUUCUAUGCGCAUAUAUAUAUAUAAAAAAAUGCUUUCCAAGACUUUGAUAUGAUAUAUCAAACGGUGAAACUGCAAGCAUGGAGUUGGGGGAAAGAAACAGUGGGGGGAACAUGAGAUGCGGAUUCACAAACAAAAAAGGGUUCAUCAAUAAUGGUAGUGGAAUGGUCAGAUAAGAAGAACAUUCAACCAACGAACAGAUGAAAUUAUUUCAAUCUAAACUGUUCCAACGGAAUUGUAGCACAGCACAUUACACUACUUAUUUCACCAACUCGCAGAGUUUUCUGAAAAGGAAGCUGGACGACCAUUUAAGUUCCAUACAAACUGGACCAUAUAUUCCAUAAAUGUUGUACCUAAGGAGACUGAAAUUUAGUAAUGGUUUUAGUUGAAUGUAGUCCCACCCGUAUGAAUCCUAUGCAAAUGAAGUUGAUUCUUCAGAAUCGCAACAUCUACAUCCAUUUUACACCUGAUUUUUUGUCUCUCGUGAUCCAGUCGUUGCUUUCUUGAAUGUUAAUUUGACCUUUAUUACGUCCUAUAGCAGAAGAAAAUCUAUUUGUUUUGAUUGGCUCUUACUAUAUUACAAGAUAGAAAAAUGCUUAACGACCCAGUCUUCUCCAUCAUACUUUUAGCAUUAGCUUUUAACUUUAAUCGGCUCUCGUAAAACGUCAUUAACCAUGGGGUACGGUGAAUUUAUUUCAUACUCCUAUUUGAAGGGUUUUACAGGUAAGUUCUGAAGACCUCAGUCUAAUAAAUCAAAUUUCUGAAGACCCCAGUCUAGCAAUUAAAAUUGAAAUCUCACUAAUUACAAGUCCUGCAGUCAAAUUUUCCGGUUAUCUCUCAACUUCUUUAAAUCUCACCCUCUCUCCUGCCAAAAAAAAUUCUGAAAAAAAUCUUAUGUUAAAAAUUAGGGAUGGCAAUGGGGGCGGGUGGCCACGCGAGGGAUUAAUGGGGCGGGGGAUGGGAGAGUGUACUUCUGCCCCAUCCCCCGCCCCGCCAUCCGCUUUAAAAAAAUAAAUAUAUAAAAUAUAUAUGUAUAUAAUUAUAUAUAGAUAUAUAAUUUAAUUAGUUACAAAUUUAUGAUAAUGAUAUUAUUAGUUAUAUGUAUUAUAUAAUGUCUAUUAGUAUAUAUAAUAUAAUUGAUAUUAUUAAUUAUACUAAUAAUUAUACAUGUGUACUAAUACAAAUUAUUAAUUGAUUAUACUAAAUUUACUAAUACAUUUAUACUAAAUCCCUAAUCACACUUAAUACAAUAACAUUUUUUUCUUAAAAAAAGCACAAGCACAAUAAUAAAUUAGUGAUUGUAUUUGUGUCAAAAGUGAAAACUUGACUACUUUAGUUAUAUUUAUUUCAUCAUGUUGGAUUGUAUUCAAAUAAUUUUUAUUUGAUUGUUUUUACAAGUUUCAAUUGUAAAAUUAUAAUGAAUAAUAAUUUGAUGAUGUGUUGAUAUUUUAAUAUUUGAUUAUUUGCUAAAUUUUAACUAUAAUAAAAUUAUAUAAUAAAUUUUUAUUAGCCCCGCCGGGACACCCGCGAGAAAAGCGGGACGGGGCGAGGGGAGUGGGAGACGGGGGAUGGGGCGGGGGCGGGGGCGAGUGGAGUUUGUAGGCAGCGGCCCUGCCCUAACCCCGCCCCGUUGCCAUCCCUAUUAAAAAUGAUAGUGAAAGUGUCAUUAACAAAAAGUUGACUGCAACAAAAAAAAAAAAAAGUUGACUGCACUGAACAAUUCUCUUUAAAAUUGGAAAUGUUAAAAUUUAAAGCCGCGACGUGUAAAAGUGGGGAACCGAAGACGACGAUUGAUGGGCUAAGAAUAAAAAGCCGCGGCAGCUAAGCUGUACGCUAGUGAAUUAGUGAGGAAACUUCGCAUUUUGUGGUAUCGAAAUCGGCGCCAUUUCCGACUGCUUUUUCCUUUUCUUUUCUCCAUAGAUUUCUUUCUAUAACUCGGCAAUUGUUUUAUCCAUUAUGUCGAACUUUCACCUUUUCUUUUUCAAAAGUUUUUCUCCACAGAAUUAAUUUAAUUCUGCAACAUGUGAUAAUAUUCAUGAGUGCAUUUUUUAUCACAAUAAUUACCUCAUUUGCAGCACCAUUGUAUGGUUUUUGCCGGGGGGCUGGGAAUCCUUGAGUGUGUUGUGUUGUGUUGGUUGAACUACCGGUGCCACGGCAGACUAGUUCUAUUUCCCUUUUCCUAAUUUAUGGCCAUUUAAUUUUUGUUUCAACGUGAUCUUUCUUUGGUGGUUAGAAAAAAAAAAAUUAUAAAUGCACUUCCAUCUCCAAUUUUAAACUUUAUUGUUGAAAUCUUUGCCCCUAAAAUAUGAAAUCUAUUUCACUUUAGUUCUUAAACUUCAGCUUUGGACACAUCACCUUUUAAAGUAUGAAAUUCAUUCCAUUUUAGUCCGUUACUUUUGAUGCUUCGGGGGAUAAAUUUCAUAUUUUAAGCGAUAAAGUGUCAAAAAUAGAAGUAUAAGGAUGAAAGCGGAUAAAAUUUCUGUAGCAAGUAAAGUGUCCAAAAAUAAAAUUUAAGGAUUUACAUGAGAAUGCAUUUAUAGUUUAAGAGUGCAAAGUAAAAUCUAGCCUAACUUAUUAUUCAGAUUUCUAAAAUAAAUUGACAGGACUGACCCUUUUUUUUUUUUUUUUAUAAAUCUAUCUAGUUGAUAAUUUAAAAUCUAAAUAACUUGUUCAACACCUUAACGAAACUGUUCCGGGUUGUCUGGUCUUUGCCAGAAUCACAUAGCUUGACAAUCCUUCCAGGUUCAGUUUAAAAAGGAUCAUUCAACGGUUUAUUUGUUCGGCUGCACAGAUUCUUAAAAUAUUGCAGCUGUGCCAGAUACUGUAUUGUCCUAACUUCGUCAAUGAUUUUGUACUCAAAUUGCAAGCUGCUUAUUAGAAACUUUCAAUGAAAUUCAGAUCACCCCGGUUUGCCAGUGGUUUGGCCAUUUCUAUGAAUUUAGUUGAAGCCCUUGCUGCAUUUUGUAUCAGCUUUCGAUACAUUAGAUUUUCACAUACAAAUCACAGUUGAAUUCUCCAACGAAAACUUGCUCCCUAUAAGCUUACAUUUUUUCCAGGCUACAUUUCUUGACAUAUAUGUAUACGUGGCAAGAAACGUCUGCUUUUUAACUGCCUGAGUGAUUUUGUUGAGCUCCAAUGGCUGAUCCUGCUUUCUCGUUCUUCAGCUUGGUGCUUCUUGAAUAAAUUUAGGCGUGCCUUUUCAAGCAAUCAAAGUUUCAGUUCUUAAGUGUCUAAGUGCGAACAAAACUAGUUCAUUCUGGCAUUCUGGUAUUCAGCAUUGUACUUUUGCAUAUGGCAUUUAUACUAUUACUAAUUUGUUUGACUUUUGGACGUCGCGUCUGGUUUUUUCUUUCUGUGCUUCUCCUACUUACUGUUUGUCUGAAGUCCGAAUACUUAUGGGCCAUGGCUAAAGUGCAGAAGGUAUAUGAUUGGCCUGCGCAACACUAGAGAUAUAGUCAAGAUCGAUGAAACCAUGCAGAACUAAAUUGAGUAUCCCAUUUCUCUUGCUGAGUUCAUCAUCAUUGGUUGAAGUUUACAGGAAUCAACCAUGUGGAAUAAUUGUACUACCUUUAGUUCCAAAGAAACAGUUCAGGCAGGGGCUAAGAAGUGAUUCAUUACCAUCACAGCAAAAAAGGCAAAAAGAAAAAUAGGAACAGAAGAAGAUGCCAUUUCGCACACAGUAUCAGACCUUCUGCAUUACACUUACUCGAUGCAAAAUGACGGGGCUUUCACUUGCUCAUGCCCGUUCUGCAUCCUAAAUUUCUUUAGCAGGAAUUUGUGAUUCAUUACCUGUCUAGACGUAAGGAAAUAAGUUCUGGAGGCGCCAAGUUGACAGCUUCUGCAGUUAUGCCUGAAUGGCAAAUACAAAACACGCUUAGUGGUAGUGCAUAAUUUGUUAGGGAAUGGAGAUCGGGUAGGAUCUAAGUAUUCAGUUUAAUUGGGAAAAUUCUAGAGAAUCAAGAUGCCAUGUUUGUUAGCUUGCCUUGCUUGAGAUAUUGCUAGACAACCAAUCUAGGCCCUCGUAGAGUCCCUGACCCGAAGUUGCGCAGGCACUCUGGAUAUACCUGCAUCAGUCAUAUCCUAUAACAUAAAUCCCAUAGAGUAACUCCUCAGGAUUUCUUAGAACCGUGUUAUGGUGUUUUUAUGUAGUCUUAUAGUUUCUCUUUGUGCACAUAAUUGCUGAUGUGUCUAAACAGCAAUACUUUAGGCAGAUCGAUUGCACAGGUUUAGUCGUGCAUACCAGCGGCGCUGACGGAGUGAGUGGAGGCCAAGUUUAUCUGUGAUUUCAGAGACUCUCAUGGCAUUUGGGAGAUCUUGCUUAUUGGCAAAGACAAGAAGGAUGGCAUCACGUAGUUCCUCCUAGGAAAAGAGAAGCAAAUUGUGGGCAUGAAUCUCAUGACAACUACUUCGUGGAGGAUUUUUUUUUUUUUUUACUUUUUUUGGGUAAGCACUUCGUGUAGGAUAGUCGAUUCGUGUUAAGCGUUCCACACAACGUACCUCAUUAAGCAUUCGAUGGAGCUCAUCUCUUGCUUCUGAAAUUCUUUCUUUGUCAUUACUAUCAACUACGAAAAUAAGGCCCUGAGUGUUCUGAAAGUAGUGCCUCCAUAAAGGUCGAAUCUGUAGAUGAAUGAGUAUAGUAGUAAGAGAAGCUCUUUCGAUGUGUGAUUAGCAUGCCUGAUAUGCAGAUAGCAGUGAUUUGUAACGCAUGCGUGCAUGAGGAGACCAUAAGACGUGCAUGGGUUUUGCCCUUGGCUAGUUAAGAUUUUUGCCAAUUGAUUUUCAUAAGUAAAGAAAGAUUAGGUAAUUGAUAACAAAAAGUACCUUAUCCUGUCCUCCUACAUCCCAUACUGUGAAACUUGCGUUUUUGUAUUCCACUGUCUCUACAUUGAAGCCUGUUUGAUCCCAAAAAACCGUUGAGACCAGAUACAUCAUACAAUUUUCAAGUUUUACAAGCACCCUCUGGGCAAACAAAUUUAAUUAGGGAAGAUUGAGAGCUCUGUGUAGGAUAAAUACAACAUCCUAGUUAGCAAUCCAUGUAACUAGUGCUCACAUAUGAACUUGAAACACAUACACAACACACACAGUAAGAAGUUCCAAGCAGAUACCUAUAGUGGGGAUGGUAGUAACAAUCUCUCCAAGCUUUAACUUGUACAGAAUAGUAGUUUUGCCAGCGGCAUCAAGACCAACCAUCAGAAUCCUCAUUUCUUUCUUCGCAAAGAGCAUUUUUGCAAACCUUGAUAUUGCCAAACCCAUUUCUGUACCAAAUAAUCAGGAAACUAGAAAAAGAAAAUUAGGUACGUCGUACUUUAAGCUGUCCAAAUUCACUCACUUGAAAAAUUUAGUAGAAGAUGCCAGUGGAGACACACAGAAAAUGCAUUGCUUUCUGUUCUUGCUUGUAUUUAAUUGACGAACGUGCUGAGAAGCAUAAAGAGGAAAGGUGGAUGGGAUUCAGCCAGGGGCCGAGGUAGAAUAAAGGGCACUGAAUUGUUAUGCCUUCGGCUGUGAAGAAAAAUUCGAUUUGACAUAUUCCUGGAAUAGCCUAAUAUCAGUCCAGACGAGUGACAUGAGCUGAGAUUCGCUCUUUGAGUUGGACGUUUAUAGAAUCUAAUGACGCCCAAUUUGCAGGGAAUCGGAUUCACUUUUGUUUUGGAUGAAGAGCACCACAUAAAAGUAAACUAGUUGGCUGGUAUUUCCUUUCAAGAUUGCUUUCUUCGCUUGGACUUCUAUUACGCACCGUAACGUGCUCUACAUCACCAUAUGCUGAUAUUGGUGUGUGGUUUACGGGAUCAUCUCGCUUGACGGUUAAUCCUUUUUGUGGGGAUCAUGAUUACGUGCUACAUUGUUUUUUUACUUCCCUUGGCAUUAAGAAUUACGAAGAGGCCUUUCUGGCCAGCUUCUUCAGGAAUUGAUAAUCGUCAAUCCUGACCUUUGAUAAUAAAAGCAUCAACAAGGGGUUUAAUACAUUAAUGUCAAUAUAUAGGCAUGUUCAUGGCUGCCAAGGCUUGCUACUUAAACGUGUUACCGUCGACGGAUGCCAACCAAGGUACGAGCAAAUGAAAUGGAAAUGGGGGCAUAAGUCAUAACAUGUGACGUGCCCAUAACAUUGGUAAUCAGAUUGACUAUAGAGAGAGCAAAUAAAGAUAACCAACAUUCCAUAGACAGCAAGGGAAAACAGAUAGUAAAUCAUAAGCCAUCUUCUACUAUAAAUUUAAAGAAGGCGUUAUCCUUGGCCUGGAGGUGGAGUGAUGAGUCGUAAAAACACUGUCCAAUCAAACAUGAAAUUCUUGAACUAGAACUAAACCUGAAUAAACAAGCGAAAGCCGACACAGAGAUGAAGUAUAGCAAUAGAAGUGCCUAAAAAAAAAAGGGGCCUAUUGUGAAGUUACUUCCGAGAGAUAGCCUCCUUGGCAGACUCUAAGGUUGAGGCAAUGGAAGCAGCAGCAUUGGCCAAGACACCGCCACUAGUUUUUGAAUCCGGGGAUGAGUCGUGAUGCUGAUGUAUGACCUGCACUGGCUUCUGGUCUAGGCCUCCUCCGGCAGAUGACCUAUAAUCUGUUGAGUCCGCCCUCCUCUCAUCCUGACCUUGUGCAUUUACAGCGCCAGUUUCCUAGCACAACAAGAACCUAAAUAAAUCAUUUAUGCAAUAAAUUAAUUCGAUGCGGAAAUUAUUAGUGAAACAUGCUGUCCAACAUGGAUACAUGUACCUACAGUCUUACCCUGUUCCCCGAUGGGUUCAUACUGCUGACGUUGGUGAUGGGUUGUCCUAAAUUUAGAAAACGAGGUCUUGACUGCGUUUGUUUGGGCUUUUAACGUUCCAAAUGAAACAUUUUUUCACAUUUAUUUAUGCGUGCAUUGGCCGAAUCUGUUGGCAGUCCAAGGAAGAAAAAGUCUUUAGGAUUUAGCAGCAACCAACCGAAGGCGAUUACUGCGUUUCAGUUAUGGCCAAAGUUUUUUCAAAAAUUUUCCCCUUCCGUGUUUUACAUAGUUGUGAUGGAAAGAUUAUAGCUCUUCAAAGCGGCAGCCAAAGAUUAUAGUUAAGCGAAGAGAUGUACUUGCCAUUAACCAGGAAGUUGGUCUAACAAAAUAAUUUUGCCAAGAUGAGACAUUUGGCUUCUCCAGCUCCUCCAUUAUCUUUUUCAAUACCACCACUCCGACCCCAUAAGCAUCCACCCUCAUUGCGUUGCAUUGAGGAGAAAGGACACAACCAUGUCAUCACAAGGGGUUCUGCACCAGUAAACCUCUUGGCUUGCAUAACAACUGAUACUACAUAAUAGAUUGAAUUAAAUUCGCUCGUUUCUCUCUUAUUAUUAUGUUUUGGCUCAAAAAUGCCAACGUUAUACAACCACUUCGUGAAAUUCACCUGAUGGCACUUGAACAUAUUUCUGGGCAUGUAAUAAAAUUGUAACUACUAGCUAAUAAUCAGCUAGCUUUUGAAGUUGGUUAAAAACUUACUGUUUUUUAAGACCUUAGGUUAAAUGGUGCAAGGUAUUGCCUAGAGCUACCAUGGAAGUAAGCCUUAUUCUGCUGAUAAAUCCUAAAUGAAGUGCUCAAGGACCUCUUCUUACAAAAAUACAUUUCCAGUUAUGCAGCAUGUCCCUAAGAUAUACCCAGACAGUAGUUCCUACUUUAUGUUCUAAGUAGGACUAGUUGCAACUAAAAGAAGCAAAAACUUUGAGAUACACUAAGUAGUUUUUGAACAGACAACAAUGACUAGCAUAGCUGCUAGAUUGUGUACACCAUUGAAGUCCAAAUUCUCAUAGACAAUCAAUAUGUCACCAGGGGUGAUCCACUGCAAUGGACAUCAGAAGCAUCAGAAAUCCUUUGCCUCGGGGACAAGGUACUGUUUGCAGCUGCAUCCACAUCAACAUUGAUGAAACUUUUCCUCUUUUGAGUUUCUAGUUUCAGCAGGUCUUCCUCCUCCUCAGGUAUGGUAUCCAAUGGUUCUAUUUGCUGCUGGUUCUGAGAUAUCAUAGCUUGAGCUUCUGCAACCACUGAAGCAUCAUCAUCUGUGGCAUAUAGAAUCCUCUUUAUUGCCUCAACCACCUGCAACAUAGAAUGCUAUCAGAUGAAGCAUUUAACCACAAAACCCUAUGCUUGUACAAUUGCUGAAAUUAAGAUGGUUGGAGAAUACUACAGGUAGGUUUUCAAUCUCAGGGCACUGGCACAAGAUUUCAAUGUCCCUCAACUUGGCGAAGUAGAAGUCCCUCUCCUUCUCAAGACUAUCCACAGAUAAUUUCAACUCUGUUAUCUGCAUUAGUACAUAUUCAUUACCCCUUGAAGCCUCAAUAUUCUCAGAUCAAAAUCAUUUUCAUAGUGGACGAAGUACCUGUUGUUCAUAUGCAGUUCGUUCGGCUUCAGAAUAGACUGAAGACCCUCCGCUUGAAGAAGGCCUAGAGGACUUGACAGCUUGACUUGCAAUAUUGACAUGUGGUGCAUCACUUCUUCGAGCAUUGUGAGGAGCAUGUUUGGCAGCAGCAGGAGCUGCACUUUUAGUUGAAGGCUGUGAUGGAACAGAUUUCUUGCUAGUAUCUUUUCCACCCUUGGAGGCCUCUCUUCUCCUCUCAAGAGCAUUGUAACUGUUGUUUGACAUUCAAGCGUUACAAAAAAAAAAAAAAAACAUUCAUCAAAAGCUGAGUCGGAGUCCUUUAAAAUGACAGCUAAUGAAAUUCUCAAUUAGACAUGGAUAGUUGAGGCUCCAACCACGUCAUUAAGUAGUGUCAUGUAGCUUAACUAUUUCUGAGCAAUUACAGAGAUUCAGAGAUAAAUAUAUAAGUAUCUGCAACAUGUUUACAUUCUUAUUUUGUUUUGCAUAAUUCUGAGUUCAAGUACCUUGGUGAUAAGUAAAAAUUACGAGCUACUAAGUUUACAAUACUCACACACAAUACCAACAUAGUGGCAGAUCUAACCUACUUGAGAAUGAAGAAAACUAAAGAAACAAACACAAAGUGCUUAUCAAAUGAUUGGCGUCCAAAUUCAUGCUGGGAACAGAACAUUGAUUCUUAGGAGAUCUUUAAAAUAGAAACCAAAUUAGCAGUACAAAGAAAAGAGAUGAUACAACAUUACCCAAAAAGAAGGCAGGAAGAAGAAGAAGAAGAAGAAAUAAAGCAGCUAGAUAUACCAGAAAUUAUGAAAUGAAUACAGCAGAGUGAACCACAGAGGUAGUUUUCCUCAAUUGAGGUAAGACAGAAAGUUCGGGGGGCAGUCAGGUUCAGAGAAAACCUGUUGAUAGAUCCUCCAUUAACAGUGUCACAGUAGCGCUUCAUCCACUGCAUGAAUUCCAGAUUGUCCAAAGGCCUUCCUUUUAUCAGCUUAUUAACUUCAAUGUGCUAUACUACGACAAACAAAGACUAUUAAUCAACUGGUCAAACAUAAUUUUAGGAGAAAACGAAACUGCUACCAUCUUCAAAUCUCAGCACCAAAAAAGGAAAAGCAAAGAACCUUGUAAAAUUGUCCAAUUUCAUAUUCUAGGAGACAAUAAAUAUGUUCUUCUAUGAGAUGAAACAGGACCUUUCCCCCAAGAAAAAAAAAAUCCUUAAAAACUAAAGCAAAAGGGAGAGGGAGAGAGGACCUUGGUGAUUUUGAGCUUGUUGAAAACGUCCUGGAGGACUUUGUAGUUCUGAAUCAUUUCAUACUCGGUCUUGGCAUCGAAAUUGACCUUGUGCAUCGGCACAGUUCCUGGAUGAACGGCGUCCAUCAGCUGGCACUGGACCGCACCUGUACAUGCCUGUGUAGAAAUGAUUUUACGAAAAUUCACAAUUUGCAAGGCAAAAACAAAACAGAGAGAGAGAGAGAACGGCGAAAAGGAUCUAGGGUUCGUAAGGCACGUUGAGAGGGAAAUGGGAAAGUAGUGUACCUCCUCGACUUUGGUGAGGUUGAGAUGUAGCGUGGAAUUAAUCCAAGUUAAGAUCUCCGAUCUGCCGACGAAGUAAGCCGAGUCCAUCAUCCCUAUGUUCGUCGCCAUUCCUCUUCGAAUCUCUCCGCUCCUUCUCCUGAAUCGAUAUCGGCGAUGUGUGUGUGCGCGUGUGUUAUUUGAAAUGAGGGGAGAGCGGGAUGGAGUGUUCUUUUUCUUAGCAAGUACUAUUUGAUUAUGAUUAUAGGUGGACUACUUUUUUUGACACUGAGAGAUUCUAGCGGUUUUAUGCUAGAAAGGUAUUUUGGGCCGUAACGAUCUCAAGGCCCAACAAGUGAAGCAAUCUGCAGUCUGGCCCAUUGUUUAUCAGGCACCAUUUGGGAUUUCGACACUGACAGUUUUGUUUUUCCCAGCCGCAUGGAUGCCUCCCGCUGAAACAAACACUAGUACCGGUCUUAUUUCAAAAUCGAGUUGAUUUGUUCGGAUUGUAGUUUAUUUGUAAAUUUUUAGUUGUUUACGUCAUUAACAUAUUUUUUAAUUAUUUUUUUAUCUUAUAUGUAUAUCAUAUCAAAAAUUACUGCAGUAUCUUUUUAAAAAUCAUUCCAAAUAAUCUACUAUUCCGAACACACUCACGUGAUAUUUAAAAAUGAUCCUGUCUUGUUUUUUAAGAUUCAAAAAAAAAAAUGCAAAUAAAUUUUUUUUUUUUGGUAUGAAAGUUUACAUCACAUAUAUAUUAUCUGAAAAAUUGCUAUAGAUGUAUUUCCUUUGAAGAUAAGAUAUGGUGGCCGCUGGACACUUUCAUAUUUGGUCACAAAAAGACGGUACCAACAACAAAGAAAUUCCACACGUUUGCAGUUCUAUUACAGUAGCCGCAAAAAGUCCUAUGGCUAUUACAUAUUCGAGGGCUGAGGUUUAGGAGGACAAACUCUUUUUUUAUUAGUGCCAUUAAUUAUAGCAGCUUUAUGCAAUCAUUAAACCCAUCAAAUUUGUUCAUCUGCGUUAUUCAUGUAGGAAACAUAUAAUUCCCGCCAAUUAUCAUAAACCCAUUCCUGCAUUAAAAGUCCGGGAUGCUUAAUAAGAGGAUUAUCUUAAAUAAAAUCCCAUUAGUCGUCCGUCACCUUUAAGCGAUCUCUUCAUCCACAUUGCGUAUCUAGUCAAUUAUGUCAAAGUGCAUUUUAAGUCUAAAACCACCUAGCAAGGCGUGCCGUUUUACAAGGAAGAGGGAAAAUUCUACUCUGUUACAAGGACGACGCUUCGUGCGUCUUUUGAGUUGCACUUACCCAUUGUCCUAUAAAAUUGCGAUAAUAUUUGCAGACCCGACAAAGGUAGGAAUCGAACUCCCAACCACCACCUUUUUCAUUGUCCAUUCCUUAUUUGAUUUACUAAUGUUCCCCUGACUUAUUAAGAUUUUUUUAAAUCGAUGAUGGGUGUGUUUGGAUUGUAAUUUUUCAUUAUGUUUUUUAUGGACACAUUUUCUAAUCACCUUUUUACCUUACAUGUAUCAAAUCAUUACAGUAAUUUUUCUACAAAAAAAAAGUGUAGAAAAAUGCAAUCCAAACAAAGACAAUUGCUUCUUUGUAUUUGGUUUUCUUAUCAUUUUAACCCCCCAAAAGGUAAAUAACUCUAGAAUAAAAAAAAAAAAAGGUAAAUAGCUCUCCGGGGUCCAACAGGACAAAAUUGGAAUUUUAUAAAAAAGAAAAUGAAUAUCAUAGGGAGAAGCGUGGGUUGAGUCCAAAAUUAGCAAAAGUUACUUGAUGUUAGAAGACAACAAUAAUGAUCUGACUAUGGCUUUGGACAUGACAAAUUCCUAUCACCAAUCUUCACGAUCAACAGCACUCCCUGAGAAAACCACCUCCACCUACCAGUCAAUAAUCUACAUUCACAGUCCUCUCUAAUUGGGCCCAUUUAUGAUUGGACUAGUGCCCAUAAUAAUACGAGGAAGAACUUGAACUAGGAAACUUGUCCAGUGCUUGAAGAACUUCUUUCAUGGUUGGUCUCUUCUGCGGAACAGUAGAGAUACAACUGUAACCUACUUUCAGAAGGGCCAACAAAGCUUCCUCCUUGCCUUCCAGGUCAGCUCGAAUUGCCACAUCAGCCAUCUUCAGUACCUUAUUCUUCUCCUCAUCAUCUAGUGCAGUUGCCCCGGUUAUCGGGCCUGGCCCCGGGCCUGUUUCAUCAGAAACAACGAUUUUCGCUGUCAGCAGUUCAAGUAAAACCACGCCGAAUGCGAAAACAUCCCACUUGGGGUUGGGUUUGAUGCUACGGAGAGACUCAGGUGCGUGAUAAGGCGAAAUGCCCAAUGUACUAGGGCUCGGGCUUGGAGUAGGCCCAAACGAAAGGUCUUGGAAGCUAUCUCGUGAAGCUGUUGACCUCUUGCUACCAAAGAUGCGCGAAGAUCCACCUGCCUUGGAGCUGUUAUCUCCAGCGACCAGUCUUUCAAGCCCAAAAUCACCAAUCUUCGGUUCCAUAUCGACACCCAAGAGAAUGUUGUUGGGCUUCAAGUUCCCAUGCACAUGUUUCUUGUCGUGGAUGUAACAGAGCCCACGAGCCACUCCUUUAGCUAUCUUGAGCCGCAUCUCCCAGGGUACAGGACAAGGAGAAGAGCCGGCUUUCCCUAAAAAUUAGUAGAAGCCAAAACAAAAAGAUUAGGUUUCCAGAUUAGGUGGACACAGAUCCACAGAAAUCAAACGACAAACUAUACCAAAAAAAAAAAAAAUAUAUAUAUAUAUAUAUAUAAAAAACACGUUAUGCACAGUCCCUUUCCAUGCAAGUGACCACUGAAAAUGAGCCUGGCGUAUUAAGUAUUUAUGGAUACGUGUGUCAAUCACUUUCGGGCACGUGGGCCCGGUGGAGGAAGUGCGAACCACGGGCUACAGAUAUGGUUGACUUGUGGUAGCAGUUCGCCUAUUCACCUUUCAGUGCAUUUAAAAACAAGCUUCAGAUAGAGCCACUCCACCGUCCAGAAACCAUAAUAGGAAAAGAAUUUAUGCUACGCUACACACAAUUCUUGGACUACUAAUGUGUGAAAACUUGAGUCAAAAUUCUCUCAUUUUGGUCAGGUUCCUUUAUUAUCAUAUCCGACCCCUUUAAUGUGUAGUGUACUUUCAUCAGAGCAAAUUGUGCUUCAUUGUGCAGCGUGCCCGGAUGAAAAUGUACUGUUAUUUUGGUGCACACAUUUGAACGGACGGCCGUGGAAGUUGUAGCUGUUGCGGUCCCUGGGUUGUGGGGGGGGAAAUUUAGAGGGAAGAGGGUGGCCAUUGCUGGUCAUUCCAUGCCCACUGAUUAUAACCCACCCACAUGACAGACAUUUCCCCAACACCACGUUACUAAAUAAAUUUAAAAAAAAAAAAAAAAACAGCAGCCUAAAGGGUUUAUCAGUAAACUUGCAGACUCUGUGAUCUGUGUUUUUGCAGAAACAUAAAAUUAUUGUCGGCGCAAUUUGCGAAUUUGAGCAUCAAGGGAAAGAGGACUUACUGUGACGUGCAUUGGCAAGACUCCCGUUGGGAACAAAAUCGUAGAUGAUCAAUUUCUCAUCAGCGCCCCAGUAGAACCCACGAAUUUUCACCAAAUUUGGAUGCACCAACUUGGCAAUUACCCUGAUCUGGUUCUCAAAGUCUCUGAACCUUUCCAUGCCGCUCUCGCCAAUUCUUCGAACAGCUAGAGCAGUCCCGUCUUCAAGAACGGCCUUGUACAUGAUACUGGACCCCGUGGCACCCAAAAUGUAAGCAGAGGCCUUAAGCAACGUCUCUAGCUCGAGUUCCUUCUCCCCAUCAACGGUCACAAGUGCCCCAUUUUUCUGUCCCUGUUGUAAACUGGCAUUAUUUUCCUGACCACCCCCUCGCAAAUCUUCUUGAUCCUCACUUUCUGAAUUGGUGGCUUGUGAUGUUUCUUCACCGUCUUCUUCUUGUCUUUGCUUUCUCAAGCAAGUCCACGCCCUUAACCAAUUGUACUCUCCCGAGGAUGCCGAUGACGAUGACGAUGACGAUGAUGCCCAGUCAAAGUCCUUGGCGCUCUCGGCCUCUUUCUUUAUGCUGCUUUUGAUGCUUUUCCUUUUCUUUAACUGAUACACGUAGAUGAAAACCGACGCAAGAAUCCCAAUUCCCGCGAUAUCACCCACUACGAUGCCCACAAUAGUGGUGAUUCUCAUCCCACCACCCCUUUGCGGACUUGGUUCAGCAGCUCCACCGGGGGACAGUGCCGCAGGGCUGGAGUCAACAGUCUUGGGAAUUGCUGCAAUUGCUGGCGGGGAUGUUGGAGCAGAGGUAUUCGGCUGGGUGUCAAUGCUAGAAGGAAUAGGACACAAAUUUUUCAGUGGUAGACCGCAUAAUUCAGGAUUCCCAGAAAAUGACUUCACAUCUUGGCUUAAGAAAACACUAGAAUCUGGAAUUUCACCCGUAAAGUUAUUGAAAGAAAGAUCAACAGUUGCAUUUGAGGGGAAAUUGUCACCAAAUUCUGGUGGGAUUUCUCCAGAAAACCUGUUAAACGACAGGUUGAGAUAACGAAAGCCACUGCCUCCAAAAUUUGAGGGCAGUGAUCCAUUCACAAGGUUAAAGGACAGAUCUAGAAACUGGACUGAUUCAAAACCACCAGGAAGUGUGCCGUAAAAGUAGUUAUUUUUCAAAGAAAUCACGGUUAAAUUAGAGAGAGCAGACAAUUUUUCCGGUAUAUUACCCGCCAAAGCAUUUUCAGAGAGAUUAAGAAGCUGGAGACUCUUUAGACCUCCAAUAUUCUCCGGCAGCCGACCAGAAAUCAGGUUAUUAGAAAAAUCAAGAACUCUAAGCUGGGAAGCACGGAAUAGAUACAAAGGAAGAGAGCCGUUAAUUGAAUUGUUGGAAAGGUCGAGACUUGUUAGGUGGGGGAUCAUACCAAGAUUAGCAGGGAGAGAACCAAGAAGCUGAGAGUUUGGAAGAGAGAGGUUGGUGACUCGGUUAGCCUCAGGUGAGCCAGGUUUACCACAGGUGACUCCUUUCCAGGAGCAAGGUGUCUCAUUGUGGAAGUCCCAACUCUGUAGCACGCCAAGGGGGUCCUUGAGAAUGCUGUACUUCAAGGAUAGCAAUAAAACUCCAUCUACGUUGAGCCCAGCAGAAAAUUGAAUUUCUAGAAGAAGAAGAAGAACAAGUGCAAUAACUCUCCACCAUAAAUGGAGAUCAGAGGUUUUGCAGGAGGCAGAGGAGGAGGAGGAGGAGGAGGAGCUCAUCAUGUCUUCUCACAGCGAUCCCACAUCUCUGUACUUUCUACUAAAACAACUGUGAAAGAGGGGCAAUUGAUUUGAGGGAGGGGUGGGGGAGACUAACAAUAACUGAGAUUUAUGAUAUUCAGGGGACCAUGUGAGGGAAGUUUGUAUAAUAUUGAGAGCAAGUGCAGCAAGACGCACAGCUCACCCAAAACCAAACUUCCCUCACCAAUUUGCUCUCGCAGCAAGACGCACAGCUCACCCAAAACCAAACUUCCCUCACCAAUUUGCUCUCGCUUCAGACUUCAGGCUACGUUAAAUCUACAAAUUAAUAUUCUAGUCACCAUACUAAUAUGACAUCGUACUAGAACAAAUAUGAUAUUAAAUCUUACACUAAUAAUCUUCUCAUAGUUGUUGGCUUUCUGUCUCUUAUUAUUAUUAUUAUUAUUAUCAUUAAUUUUAUUUUGGUGCUACGCCUUACCCUGCAAAGAUUGGUGAAAACAAUUUACAAAGUCUCGCAGACUUGCACAGGAUUCUUUAAUGGAUUACAUCAGAGAUAAUAAGGCGCCCCCCCGGGGGGGGGGAGAUAGCAUCUUUGCUAGGUGACAGAAAGGUGGAGUUGGAAAGUGCAGAACUCGCACUUAUUGACUUUGCUGAUGCUUCUUACAUAAUUAAAGGUUACUGGUGUGUACUUCUGUUGUUAUUCGCAUCAGCAUUAGCCCGGAACUGAAAAGUAUUCACGUUUAUAUUGUAGCAUCCCUUCUAGCCUGUGAUUUCUUGAAUUUUAGCAGGCCUGUGAAAGUGCUAAGAAAAUCUGAUUGAAAUUUAAGGAAUCAUUCGUAUUAAAUGUUAUAAAUAGUGCCGUCUGAUGAAGCUACUGGUGGCAAAAGCCAGUAGGGAACUAGCUUUGCUUAUUUGGGUCUAUCUAAUUCUUUUGUGUAGUGCAGUCACCGGCGUUAAACGUAGCUGUAAAGGGGUGUGGCAUUCAUUACUGCCCUCAUAAAUAACCUCCAGGAAUUGGGUGGCACAGUUUUAAUGCACGAAGCUGUUACGUUCAUUUUCCAAAAAUAUGCCAUGCUAUGGAACUCAAGCAUGCUGAUUUAAGAUGCGUUUUUGAUCAUCUAAGACGAAAAAACACAUACAGCCUAGUCUUGGUAGGCUUCUCUCUUUCGGAAAUUAGGAAAACUAUGGUGUUUUUUAAUUUUUUUUCCGAUACAAGGAGUAUUCCAACUUUUGACAAACUAAUCUUCCUACGUCCGUACAUCCCGCCCCCAAGAAUACACAGAGCAGUAGGAGGGACGACUCGAAAACAUGACCUCAGGAUUCAAAGGAGUUACCCCGGUGCCAUCCAAACCAACCCUGAGGGGAUAGGAAAACUAGUGUUUGGAUUGCAAUUUUCUAUCAAAAAAUUUUUUACGUUUUUCUCGUUAUUAUAUUUUUUAAUUUCUUUUUUACCUUUUAUAUAUUGAAUCAUUGUAAUAUAGUUUUGGGAAAAAUACAAAAAAUUCUCAUGUGGUACACCUAAUACACAGAAAAGCCUUCCAUGAUUUCAAAAUAUACAACACGACACCUCGCAUUUUGGACUAAAUUGUAAAUGUGACGGAAUUCGUUAAACUUAACGGAAUGAACCUAAAAAAAAAAUUUAUACCUAAUUUUUAACAAAUAUAUCUGUUCUACCUCUUAACUCUCAAUUCUCUCUAUCUAGAGAAUAAAACAAGUAAUUUUUUUGAGCAGUCUUUUACUUAAUUAUAUCAGGGCAUUUUGGUCAUUUUAUCCAAUUCCGUUAAAUUUAACGGAUUCCAUCACCUUUACAAUUUAAUUCAAAGUACGGGGUGUCGUGUUGUAUAUUUUGAAACAACGAGAGGCUUUUCUAUAUAUUAAGUUUACCACGGGAGUUUUUUUAUUUUUUACCCUAUAAUUUUUUACAAAAAUUUUAAAAAAUAGCAAUCCAAAUGGAAAGGGCCAGUAGUAGAAAAUUGAAUUAAUGCCAUUCAUGUGCUUAGUGAGCACAAUGUGCACGAGCUACAUCAGGAAACAAUUGGCUGGAGCAUCAAGAACCCGCUCAAUUAAUCUACUAACUUUUUCAAGACAAUUGACUCGUUCCACUGACCAAAUCUUGUGGAACAAAUCCUUGAUACGAGACUACCGUGCCAUGCAUCGCAAUUCCUCAUUUUCUUUCACAGACUGGAUAUCUAGAAUAAGAGUGGUCAAAGUUGAUGCAUGAUGGAUUAUCUCUCCACCAACUGAACUUGACUUUGUAUUAACACAUUAAAUUAGGGAAUGUAUUACAUUAUUAGGAGCUAGCGCCUGCUACCGGUCACAGACAUUUGGCUCUCGAAGACCAUUUAAAUCGUCAUCCAAUUAGAUGGACUAUCUAGCCAACUUUCUCUAAAGGAGUUGACCACCACAUGUACUAUCGGGUGGCAGAUCAAGGGUUCAAACUAUACUUUCCAUCAAUGUGUCGUUAUAUGUGAUUUCUUCUAAAAUCAUAUGAGUGCGUGAUGCAUCCGUCUAAUCCGAUGGUGAUUCAGUCCCCACCAAUUUUCUGGGCAACCCCUCUGGAGUAGGCUAGAGUAGAAAAAAAAAAUUCAUGGGCAAGGCAAACCGGCAUCCACCAGGACAUGCCCUUUCUCUGGUCACGUUUAGCCUUUUUUCUUUCUUCUUGGUCCAUAAAUUCCAGAAAAGAAAAAAGUGAGGCAUUCACUUGAAAUAGACACUGGGGGACUUCAAUGAUUUCGCUUCCUUCACUUACUAACGGACGAUGAAAUUUUGGACCACCGAAAAAUAGUGUGGACCUCAGUACAAAAUCAUAAUACUUAUUGUCCCUUAGCAUUUGGCUCCAGUGGUAAUAGUCAAACUUGAGUUCCUUAUCAGCAAAGAUGUCUGUUGGGUCUGUAUUCGAAAACUUUCUGAUGGAAAUACCACUCCCCGGACAGGAGGAUGUGUGGUGAUCUCAGAUGUUGCAGUACACAAAAAGUCUGUGUUUUUGCAAUAUAAUUCGGCCCAGGGAUGAUUAUGUAUACGCCACCAAAGUGAAAUGCUACGUACUUCGUUUUGAUACCCUGCUUUCCUCCCUUGGCCCUUUUCAAAAGUGGUUGUUUCAGCUUUUACUUUAAUAGUGUGCUAAUCAGUCAAUUAGGAACAUGACGAACCUUUAACAAGAUUUCCAUCAAGUCCAGCUGAAAGGGUCUUUAGGCUAAUUAAUUAAUUUGGUGGACCGCUCACCUUUUUUGAUGCAGAGAAUAGUAGUAGUACUGAUAUUUAUAUCACUACUGUUAGACGUCUGUGGAUCUGAUGUCUUGAGGGGAAAAAGCUACAAGUGCUAAUUGGAAAAGGGAAAGAAAAGCUCCCCUGCUGAUUCAAGGUCUCCCUCCAAACCCAUCUUAAUGAUAUUCCCUCCGUCCCAAUUUGAUAGUCAUGUAUUCCUUUUUCAUCUGUCCCAAAUUAUAGUCCACUUUCCAAUUGAAGAAUGUAGUUGUAUUUUAAUUUUUCUAAAAUACCCUUAUUCAAUGUAAGUAGUUGUUACUAUAAACCUAUCCCAUUUAAUGAGAGUUGAUUCUUUUUUUACCAUCAAUUCAAGUUUCCAUAAAAUUGUACCAUAUUUAAUGUGAGGGUAUUUUAGAAAAAUAGCAAUCUAAAUUUACUUUUCCAAUAAAGUUAACUACUUUUUCUUAAACUGUGUGAAAAAAGAAACAAGACUAUCAAAGUGGGACGGAGGAAGUACUUAAUUUUUUCUUUCCCCGGCGACUAUUUGGAAAACAGGCACAAAAGUACUCUCCAUCAGUCAUUGAAUUUUGGGUUCUAGAGGACAAACUAGAACACGAAAUUUUACAAUCCUGCAGGGAAAAUCAAUGACAAUGGAGACACUCCAAAAAAUCAAUCCGUACUCGAGGAAAAAAUGACAGAAAACGAUAGCCUCAAGCUAAAAAUCAUCCUCGAUGUCAUAAUCUCGUGCAAAAUUAUGAGAGUACAACGGGGGUGAAACUAUGGGAUACAAAUGCGGGGAUGCCCGGUGUCAUAGAAUUAUACGUCGUCUUAAAAUCUCUCUUAAAGCAUUAAACAUUCCAACAUUUAGAAACUGCAGAUUCCCGCAGCCAGAAUUCUACAGUUCCACUUCUGUGGAUUUUAGUAUAACUUCGUUGACUUGUAACACACUAGUGACAUGCCAACAGAUACUCGUUCAAUGUCAAGCGGCUAUCAGCUUCCAUCCCUAUCAAUGCUUAAGACAGCUUUUGCUGAGCGGAAAGAUAAGAAUUUCACGAACUAUUAUCCUCUGCCGCUAUCUUUUUCAUUUAUCAAAAAAUGUCUAGCAAAAAUGAUAUGACGCCAUGUAUUUGAAAAAGACUCCGUAAAAGGGAAAUCAAUCUUGGGAUGAAAAGAAAAGGCGUAGGGAUGAGAGAGAAUGCAUUUGGAACCCAAUUCUCGGAUGGUUUAUUCGUUUGCACCGACACAUAAAGGCACAUUCCACAACUAGCCCAUGUCUGUACACCACUUCCGAAACCAUCACGUUUGAACGAAUUAUUGGAGCAAUGCAGCUUACUGCAACUCCCCCCCCCCCCCUUUUUUUUUUUUUUCUGGAAGCAGGGUAUUCAAAUCUUCGGUCCGACUAAUCUUUUUGCAGUUUGAGAAGAGAGACUCCAUCCCCUCGAACACGUUAAAUCUGGGACUUGAAUUCUAGUGAAAGAGAUGGACAAUACUUUUUAAGGAGGGUACGUGACCAACAAAGCUACCCAACUUAUUGCAACUUCCCUUGAAUCGUCAUAUUUAUUAGAUAUAUGCUGAAACGGCCAAAGAGUCUCUUCUGAUAUAGACAUAAAGAAUACAAGCGAAGCUCAAUUAUCAGUCCAGAUAUUUGGAUUAAUAGGCUACUCAUUCUCUCUUUCUCUAGCACUAGAAAUUAGUACGAAAAGAGAAAGAAAGCAGAGACGUCCAUCUUAAAGGCUUAUUGCCAUGGUGGGACUUGGGAGUUUUCCUUGAUAAUAUGAUGAAUUGAAGCCAAAAGUAUCAAUAUUCAAUUACGAGGCAGAUCAGAUGUGACUUAACUAGGACCGAGUACACAGUGCAUAUUAUUCUCAAAAAGGCUGAUCCAAUUAAAGCAAGGUCAAAAGAAAGCUAAAAUGAGAUGUAAGAGCACGUGGGUUGCUGCUUCUUUACUGAGUAGGAGUUUAUUAACAAGUACAUUAGCCUUCAAAUGCGUACGAGUAUUGGUGAAAAUGAAGAGACCAGGAAAGCUGGCUUCAGCAGGUCGUAGCCUGAACUUGAAAUGAAGGGAAUCCAUUAGAGGACAAUAUCAGAUUCAGAUACAGUUAACCAUUGGCCUUAGCUUCGAUUAUUGAAGUUCGCAUUUCAACAAAUGGGACUUCAAUCAUGUUAAAACUUGCGACUUUCGGUGGUGACCUUUUUUGUCCGGACUCCUAAUGGUGUCUUUGAGCCGCCCCCCACAUUGGCAACGAGCUCUUCACAGGAAGAAAGAAAGAAAUAUAUAUCAAUUUCUUUCAGAACAAAACUCAGGCAACUGUUUUAAGUGCGAUAUAAGACGUUUCAGCCUGUGAAUUUGUCCCAAAUUUUGGAGCAACAUGCAACAUAUGUUGUUAGUGUGGAGCGGAUAAAUAUACGGAUCCCAGAAUUCGUGGAAAACUAAAUAUUACUGGUGAGACAAUUACUGAUUCUGCACAGAUGAGAAUGAAUUGUUUUCCCUCCACUUAAGGUAAAUUAAUCUCCCCAAUUCCCCAAAACCCAAAAGUUUUUGGCCCUUGGAUGCAGAGGGGACAUGAAUUGGUCGGUGUUGCGGGCGUAUGAACUUGCCAAACGAGACCUCAUCCAAAUCAGGUUACAAAUACUAGGUAUUUGUGCGUUGGAAUCUGAAAAAUGGGAAAAUACUCGUACGAGUCUAGUGAUGUAGCAAUUCAAUUAUAUGGUGUAAAGGGUCUUACACGCUGAUUUAAGAAUUAAGACCAGAAACCGGUGCCAAAUUAGUUAAAAGAACAAUAAAGGAAGUGGAUCGCCUUUACAUCCUGAGAGUACAGAACACACUAAUUAAAUUUGACCAGUCCAUUUUGUAUCGAACAUCGUGCAUGACGUUUCUCCCACGCCAUCCAUCACCACCAUUUUCGCUCACUGAAUCUCGUGUUUCAGCUAUGAGCCAACUUGUCCCCCAUUUUAAAGAAGCGAUGAAAUGCACAUUACAGAUUCAAUUAAAAAAAAAAAAAAAAAGCACUACGCUUGGCUCUGAUGUCCGUUUGAUGAAUUUAGAUUACAUCACUAAUGACUAAGCCGUCUGUGCUGUCAGUUCCCUUCUUCAUUGCAGAAAUCAGCCCCAUAAUCACUACUGCUGAUAUUUACUACCCAUGGUGAAUACGGCUUUAAACUGCACCAUUACUCACUUGAAUCUAUGCAUUAAUUACGGCCAAGACUUGGUAAAUGUUCACAACGAGUUGGGCUGGGCAGCAACAUUUUGAUCAGUGACACCGGUGCAUGACAAUUCGUACAACAAGACAACAUCCACCAUGGAAACAGAGAGACGACGGAUUCACUCCCUAGUCUGCAAUAACAUCUCAAUUAUUUACGCCAGCACCUUUCCUGCCGCUUCCUAACAAGAGCACAUCUGUAUGGACUAAACGGGGUAAUAUCAACAAUGCUGGAAUGACCGACCAUCAACCACAAGCUCAGCCAAGGCGGCACCACUGGCAGGGCCAUUCAGGGUCCCCCCAACAGCUAUGUCCAGUCCCCACAAAACACCCCUUUACACCAGGCAUUUCCCCUAUAACUGGCACUCCAUCAUCCGUGCACGGCAAAGAGCACGGUUGCUCUGCCUUUACUGUUGCUUCACCUUCCGUUAGGUGGCUUUAUACAUUGCCAGCUACUCUCUUGAGCACUCCUUAUGGAUUCUGGGACAGGUGAUAUUUGCUCCGGAUCAUCCGGAACCUCAGCCUCUGCUGACAUUCCACAUAUGUAAACUUCCCCAGUCAAAAAUUUAACCACCAAAACAGACCACAACCUUCUUAAUCAACACAACUGGGAACACCAAAUAAAUUGUAAUCAUACUCAUUACUAGCAAUUGUCACCUUUAGCGAAUGAACUACUUGUUCAAUCAUCACUACUAUUUCAUUUUUGUUUACUACAAAUUUCGGUCUCAUUUGGAUUGUUAUUUGGGUAUUUUUAGGAGUUUUUAUAAAAAAAAAUAUAUAUAUACUGUAAUAACUGAUGCACGUGAAAUAAAAAGAUGAUCCAAAAUUAUACCGUCCAUAGAAAAUGCGGAAAUGUAUAGAAACACAUGACCGAUGACAGGUUUGCUGGUACGAUCUUGAAAUUCACGGCCGUAUAGUAGUGGAACUCGAAAAUUGCUUCCACUUCCACAGCACACCUAUUGGACGAGGAUAGACUUCUGGGUCCAUGGGCUUCCCACCUUGGGCCAUACAAUAACUCAGGAACAGUGCAUGCGGAGUCAUAGCAUCUGGAUCAUUGGGUUCCAAGAUGACACGAUGCUGUGGGCUUUAAGCCCAGACACCCUAAACAAGGAGCUAGACGGCGACAAUUUUAAGGCCCGAGAGGCAGCACAACGGCAUUAGCGUUGAUCCUUGUCCCUCCCUCCAGCACCACCUCCCUAGCUCUACCCUCCACGACCUCCACCUCCUCCAGCUUCCCAGUCACCACCUCAAGGCCACAUAUUCCUCAAUCGCCUUGUUUAAAAGCGUUUUGGCAAAGAGCCGAGGAUUCACUUGGGCCGUUGUCUCCGUUGUACCGAUAGUCCUGGGGCUUUUGGGUGGGCCGUCGAUCCAAGCAGGGAGUUUUGACACUGGAGUUUUAUACAAUGGGCUCCCCGAAGAUGAUGAUGAUGCUUCGGUGAUGGCUAGAUUGAGGGGACGGGAACCGUACGACUGGGGACCAUUGAGCUCCCACUUGAGAUCCUCGGUGACACAUUUUGAGUGCCAAACCAGUGCCACCUCUAAUAUUAUGCCAAGUGUCAUGUUAUUAUUUAUAUUUUAAUUUUUUAAAAAUUCAAAUUAAUUUAAUUUAACACAAAUUAACUCUAUCCUCUAACACUUUGAACCAAACCAACCAACCGGUCUGAUUCCAUUACCAAUACUUUCGUUCAGCAACCACUCAAGAUCUGAUUGGCAUGGGAAAAAGAAAAAGAUACCCCUAAACAAUUGCCUCCAAGCAACCGUAGCCUAAAAGAUACUUUCGUUCAUCGUUGAUUGCUUAGAACAAUCAACCGUAGCCUAAUAAGCGCAAAAUAGCAGCCGCCGACUAUUGAAGCAAAUUGACUACAAAGAUUCAGGAAGUACUCAAUCAAGAACGCCCAACCAUCCCUAGCUUUCUCCAGCAAAGAACGUUUCACAUCAUUCAGGUAAUUAUCCAACCUUGCAUCCAGUUUAAGUCUUGAGUUUUUCCAGCUUUGAUUUAUUAAAUCAACAUCACUAUUUGUUCCAUGAUCUUGAUUUCGAAUUUCAAUUUUUUUAAUAUUAAGAAAGUUAGGAAAUAGACAACAACUCGUAAGUAUUUUAACAACUCAUAAGCAAUAUCACCCUACCUUAUGUUAUGCAAUUUUAUAUCUUCAUUUUCAAUUUCCAUUAAAGUGAAAUUUACAUUGAAUUGUGAGUUUGGAAAGAUUAAAUAUUAAUUGAGUGGUCAAAUUGACUACUUACACGCUAAUUGUAAUAUACCUGGAAAAUAAGUUACUUUGUGGGAUUAAAAAAUUAUUUAUUAUUUCAAGAAUUGUUAUAAAUUUUACUAAUGUACCAAAUUAAAAAAAAAGAUACAAGAAGUAACAAUAGUUUUUCUGACUAGUUGCAAGUAGUAGUAGUGAACAAAACCAAAAUUCUCCCAACAUCAAAUGAGUAAAUCACAGUUUCAAACUAAAAAUGCCACUUGAAUACAUAGAAAUGCCCACCACAUAAGAAUUAUCGUGGAAUCUAUAAUGAGAUAAAAAAAGAUGUAUAUUUCCAAAUCAACCAGCUAAACGAAGCUAACAUACUCGUUUAAUGAAUCAUAAAGCAAACGUGUAACAGCCAUUAUAUUUACAAAUAUUUCAGCACACAACUCCAAAUGUAGUUCGUAUACAGGAAGAUCAACAAACAGCAUAAGCUGAUACAGAACCAAACAAGACUACAGCCUGAAUUUAGCAUCAAACCAAGUUCAACAACCUAGAACUAGACUAAACUUCAACAACAGAAACGAUAUGGGGAACCUUCUGGCAAUCAAAGGGCAAGCUAACAUACUGGCAGGCGAACUCCUUAGCAAUCUCAAAUGCCAAUUCGCCAUGUUUCCAUCGUUUCCUCUGUUUCAGAAGGAAGACUGACACUUCUCCAGCAAUUUUUCUGCAUU
RNAcentral lists this long non-coding RNA (38487 nucleotides) under Coffea arabica (coffee). RNAcentral describes it as "long non-coding RNA (CARA_LNC004858)". The record is from RNAcentral. Lineage: Eukaryota; Viridiplantae; Streptophyta; Magnoliopsida; Gentianales; Rubiaceae.